Molecule: ribosomal RNA, 206 nt
Filed under: uncultured bacterium
Lineage: Bacteria
Description: partial 16S ribosomal RNA
Rfam family: Bacterial small subunit ribosomal RNA
Source: RNAcentral
CACGUAGGCGGAUCUUUAAGUCAGGGGUGAAAUCCUGGAGCUCAACUCCAGAACUGCCUUUGAUACUGGGGAUCUCGAGUCCGGGAGAGGUGAGUGGAACUGCGAGUGUAGAGGUGAAAUUCGUAGAUAUUCGCAAGAACACCAGUGGCGAAGGCGGCUCACUGGCCCGGUACUGACGCUGAGGUGCGAAAGCGUGGGAGCAAACA